Ribosomal RNA from Fukomys damarensis (Damara mole-rat), 97 nucleotides. The record is from Ensembl. NCBI's taxonomy places the organism in Eukaryota, Metazoa, Chordata, Mammalia, Rodentia, Bathyergidae.
GCCUACAGCCAUACCAUUCUGAAUGUGCCUGAUCUCAGAAGUUAAGGAGACCUGGGCCUGGUUAGUACGUGGAUUUGAAGACAUGGUGCCAUUAAUC